UACAGCAAUGUAUAUAUAUCUAACAAUUGGACAGCUCCUGGUGGCGCCUGUGGCGGGUCUUGUGCCACAGGGAUUCACGGUGCGGCAACUCCAAUCACACAGCCAAAUGCAUAUAUCUGGUGGAUCCGGGUCCCUGCAAGGAUUGGGUCAAGGUCUGGGGCUUUGACUAUCUGACAAAUCGCUGCAUAUUCU
This 192-nucleotide unclassified non-coding RNA is filed under the name Drosophila pseudoobscura pseudoobscura. RNAcentral's name for it is "GA22617". The record is from RNAcentral. Lineage: Eukaryota; Metazoa; Arthropoda; Insecta; Diptera; Drosophilidae.